GAUGAACGCUGGCGGCGUGCUUAACACAUGCAAGUCGAACGAAGCAGCUUAUUACGAUCCCUUCGGGGUGACGAUUUGUUGACUGAGUGGCGGACGGGUGAGUAACGCGUGGGUAACCUACCUUGUACAGGGGGAUAACAGUUGGAAACGACUGCUAAUACCGCAUAAGCGCACAGCAUCGCAUGAUGCAGUGUGUAAAAGUUUUUCGGUAUAAGAUGGACCCGCGUCUGAUUAGCUAGUUGGUGAGGUAACGGCCCACCAAGGCGACGAUCAGUAGGGGUUCUGAGAGGAAGGUCUCCCACAUUGGUACUGAGACACGGACCAAACUCC
This 330-nucleotide ribosomal RNA is filed under the name uncultured Pseudobutyrivibrio sp. RNAcentral's name for it is "bacterial SSU rRNA". It matches the Rfam family "Bacterial small subunit ribosomal RNA", at positions 28 to 339 of the family's 1533-position model. The record is from RNAcentral. Lineage: Bacteria; Bacillati; Bacillota; Clostridia; Lachnospirales; Lachnospiraceae.